This 842-nucleotide ribosomal RNA is filed under the name uncultured Caldilinea sp. RNAcentral describes it as "bacterial SSU rRNA". It matches the Rfam family "Bacterial small subunit ribosomal RNA", at positions 54 to 907 of the family's 1533-position model. The record is from RNAcentral. Lineage: Bacteria; Bacillati; Chloroflexota; Caldilineae; Caldilineales; Caldilineaceae.
CAUGUCAAGUCGAACGCUCGUGGCAACACGGGAGUGGCGGACGGGUGAGUAACGCGUGGGAACGUGCCCUGAGGUUGGGAAUAACUGCGGGAAACUGCAGCUAAUACCUGAUGAGCCCCGAGAGGGGGAAAGAUUUAUCGCCUUGGGAGCGGCCCGCGUCGGAUUAGCUAGUUGGUGGGGUAACGGCCUACCAAGGCUUCGAUCCGUAGCUGGUCUGAGAGGACGAUCAGCCACACUGGGACUGAGACACGGCCCAGACUCCUACGGGAGGCAGCAGUGAGGAAUCUUCCACAAUGGGGGCAACCCUGAUGGAGCAACGCCGCGUGCAGGAUGAAGGCCUUCGGGUUGUAAACUGCUUUUGUACAGAACGAAAAAGUCUUUAAUAACACUAGAGGCUCAUGACGGUACUGUAAGAAUAAGCACCGGCUAACUACGUGCCAGCAGCCGCGGUAAUACGUAGGUGGCAAGCGUUAUCCGGAAUUACUGGGCGUAAAGCGCACGCAGGUGGCUGCUUAAGUCUGACGUGAAAGCUCCUGGCUUAACUGGGAGAGGUCGUUGGAGACUGGGCGGCUUGAGGCGAGGAGAGGGGUGUAGAAUUCCCGGUGUAGUGGUGGAAUGCGUAGAGAUCGGGAGGAAUACCAGUGGCGAAAGCGGCACCCUGGCCUUGGCCUGACGCUCAGGUGCGAAAGCGUGGGGAGCGAACGGGAUUAGAUACCCCGGUAGUCCACGCGGUARACGAUGAAUACUAGGUGUAGGUGGUCUCAAAACUAUCUGUACCGCAGCUAACGCGAUAAGUAUUCYGYCUGGGGGAGUACGAACCGYAAGGUUAAAAACYUCAAAGG